This 465-nucleotide ribosomal RNA is filed under the name uncultured bacterium. RNAcentral's name for it is "partial 16S ribosomal RNA". It matches the Rfam family "Bacterial small subunit ribosomal RNA", at positions 28 to 507 of the family's 1533-position model. The record is from RNAcentral.
GACGAACGCUGGCGGCGUGCUUAACACAUGCAAGUCGAACGGAAAGGCCCUGCUUGCAGGGUACUCGAGUGGCGAACGGGUGAGUAACACGUGGGUGAUCUGCCCUGCACUUCGGGAUAAGCCUGGGAAACUGGGUCUAAUACCGGAUAGGAGCCAUUUUUAGUGUGAUGGUUGGAAAGUUUUUUCGGUGUAGGAUGAGCUCGCGGCCUAUCAGCUUGUUGGUGGGGUAAUGGCCUACCAAGGCGGCGACGGGUAGCCGGCCUGAGAGGGUGGACGGCCACAUUGGGACUGAGAUACGGCCCAGACUCCUACGGGAGGCAGCAGUGGGGAAUAUUGCACAAUGGGCGCAAGCCUGAUGCAGCGACGCCGCGUGGGGGAUGACGGCCUUCGGGUUGUAAACUCCUUACGCUAGGGACGAAGCUUUUUGUGACGGUACCUAGAGAAGAAGCACCGGCUAACUACGUG